RNAcentral lists this ribosomal RNA (431 nucleotides) under uncultured bacterium. RNAcentral's name for it is "partial 16S ribosomal RNA". It matches the Rfam family "Bacterial small subunit ribosomal RNA", at positions 30 to 507 of the family's 1533-position model. The record is from RNAcentral.
CGAACGCUGGCGGCAGGCCUAACACAUGCAAGUCGAACGAACUCUUCGGAGUUAGUGGCGGACGGGUGAGUAACACGUGGGAACGUGCCUUUUGGUUCGGAAUAACUCAGGGACACUUGUGCUAAUACCGAAUGUGCCCUUCGGGGGAAAGAUUUAUCGCCAUUAGAGCGGCCCGCGUCUGAUUAGCUAGUUGGUGAGGUAACGGCUCACCAAGGCGACGAUCAGUAGCUGGUCUGAGAGGAUGACCAGCCACACUGGGACUGAGACACGGCCCAGACUCCUACGGGAGGCAGCAGUGGGGAAUCUUGCGCAAUGGGCGAAAGCCUGACGCAGCCAUGCCGCGUGAAUGAUGAAGGUCUUAGGAUUGUAAAAUUCUUUCACCGGGGACGAUAAUGACGGUACCCGGAGAAGAAGCCCCGGCUAACUUCGUG